GAUGAAGAACGUAGCGAAACGCGAUAAGUAAUGUGAAUUGCAGAAUUUAGUGAAUCAUCGAAUCUUUGAACGCACAUUGCGCCCAUUAGUAUUCUAGUGGGCAUGCCUGUUCGAGCGUCAUUUCAACCCUUAAGCCUAGCUUAGUAUUGGGAAUCGACUUUACUGUCGUUCCUCAAAUUCAACGGCGGAUUUAUAGCAAUCUCUGAACGUAGUAAUUUUUUUUCUCGUUUUUGAAAUACUAUAAACCUCAGCCGCUAAACCCCCAAUUUCUUAUGGUUGACCUCGGAUCAGGUAGGAAUACCCGCUGAACUUAAGCAUAUCAAUAAGCGGAGGA
RNAcentral lists this unclassified non-coding RNA (334 nucleotides) under soil metagenome. RNAcentral describes it as "partial contains 5.8S ribosomal RNA, internal transcribed spacer 2, and large subunit ribosomal RNA". The stretch from base 1 to 120 matches the Rfam family "5.8S ribosomal RNA", at positions 35 to 154 of the family's 154-position model. The record is from RNAcentral.